This 481-nucleotide ribosomal RNA is filed under the name uncultured bacterium. RNAcentral describes it as "partial 16S ribosomal RNA". It matches the Rfam family "Bacterial small subunit ribosomal RNA", at positions 28 to 507 of the family's 1533-position model. The record is from RNAcentral.
GAUGAACGCUGGCGGCGUGCUUAACACAUGCAAGUCGAACGAAGCACUUUAUUUGAUUUCCUUCGGGACUGAUUAUUUUGUGACUGAGUGGCGGACGGGUGAGUAACGCGUGGGUAACCUGCCUUGUACAGGGGGAUAACAGUUGGAAACGGCUGCUAAUACCGCAUAAGCGCACAGCAUCGCAUGCUGCAGUGUGAAAAACUCCGGUGGUAUAAGAUGGACCCGCGUUGGAUUAGCUAGUUGGUGAGGUCACGGCCCACCAAGGCGACGAUCCAUAGCCGACCUGAGAGACUGACCGGCCACAUUGGGACUGAGACACGGCCGAAACUCCUACGGGAGGCAGCAGUGGGGAAUAUUGCACAAUGGGCGAAAGCCUGAUGCAGCGACGCCGCGUGAGCGAAGAAGUAUUUCGGUAUGUAAAGCUCUAUCAGCAGGGAAGAUAAUGACGGUACCUGACUAAGAAGCACCGGCUAAAUACGUG